RNAcentral lists this ribosomal RNA (253 nucleotides) under Salmonella enterica subsp. enterica serovar Agona str. 400100 30-11. RNAcentral's name for it is "partial 16S ribosomal RNA". It matches the Rfam family "Bacterial small subunit ribosomal RNA", at positions 1 to 248 of the family's 1533-position model. Lineage: Bacteria; Pseudomonadati; Pseudomonadota; Gammaproteobacteria; Enterobacterales; Enterobacteriaceae. The record is from RNAcentral.
UUAAAUUGAAGAGUUUGAUCAUGGCUCAGAUUGAACGCUGGCGGCAGGCCUAACACAUGCAAGUCGAACGGUAACAGGAAGCAGCUUGCUGCUUCGCUGACGAGUGGCGGACGGGUGAGUAAUGUCUGGGAAACUGCCUGAUGGAGGGGGAUAACUACUGGAAACGGUGGCUAAUACCGCAUAACGUCGCAAGACCAAAGAGGGGGACCUUCGGGCCUCUUGCCAUCAGAUGUGCCCAGAUGGGAUUAGCUUG